AUGGCGGCUACAUUCAAUGUUAACGCUGAGGCAGGCCUUCAAAAGCUUGAUGGCUACCUUCUGUCUCGCAGUUACAUCUCUGGAUACCAAGCUUCCAAGGAUGACUUGGCUGUGUAUUCUGAGUUCUCAGUUGCUCCACCAUCGACCUGCACCAAUGUUGCAAGGUGGUACAAUCACAUUGAUGCGCUCCUGAAGCUGAGCGGGGUUACUGCGGCCGGUCAAGGUGUGAAGGUUCUGUCAUCAGUUGUCCCUGAAACCUCAACUACUGAUGUUGCUGAGGCUCCUGCAGCUGAUGAUGACGAUGACAGUGAUGUUGACCUUUUUGGAGAGGAAACCGAAGAGGAGAAGAAGGCAGCUGAAGAGCGUGCUGCCAAAGCAAAGGCUUCUACCAAGAAGAAAGAAUCUGGCAAGUCGUCAGUUUUGCUUGAUGUUAAGCCAUGGGAUGAUGAGACUGACAUGGUCAAGCUUGAGGAAGCUGUCCGAAGCAUCAAGAUGGAGGGCCUUCUGUGGGGCGCUUCCAAGCUCAUGCCAGUUGGAUAUGGCAUCAAGAAGCUUCAGAUUAUGAUGACCAUCAUUGAUGACCUUGUGUCUGUUGACACUCUGAUUGAAGACCAUCUCUGCGUCGAGCCAGCCAACGAGUACAUCCAGAGCUGUGACAUUGUUGCCUUCAACAAAAUCUAA
Molecule: ribosomal RNA, 681 nt
Filed under: Triticum aestivum (bread wheat)
Lineage: Eukaryota; Viridiplantae; Streptophyta; Magnoliopsida; Poales; Poaceae
Description: partial small subunit ribosomal RNA
Source: RNAcentral